Molecule: ribosomal RNA, 460 nt
Filed under: uncultured bacterium
Lineage: Bacteria
Description: partial 16S ribosomal RNA
Rfam family: Bacterial small subunit ribosomal RNA
Source: RNAcentral
ACUACGGGAGGCAGCAGUGAGGAAUAUUGGUCAAUGGACGCAAGUCUGAACCAGCCAUGCAGCGUGCAGGAAGACGGCCCUAUGAGUUGUAAACUGCUUUUGUACGAGGAUAAACGCAGAUACGUGUAUCUGUCUGUAGGUAUCGUACGAAUAAGGAUCGGCUAACUCCGUGCCAGCAGCCGCGGUAAUACGGAGGAUUCGAGCGUUAUCCGGAUUUAUUGGGUUUAAAGGGUGCGUAGGCGGUCGGAUAAGUUAGAGGUGAAAUGCCGAGGCUCAACGUCGGAAUUGCCGCUGAUACUGUUCGGCUAGAGAGUAGUUGCGGUAGGCGGAAUGUGUGGUGUAGCGGUGAAAUGCUUAGAGAUCAUACAGAACACCGAUUGCGAAGGCAGCAUACCAAGCUACUUCUGACGUUGAGGCACGAAAGCGUGGGGAGCAAACAGGAUUAGAUACCCGUGUAGUC